This 463-nucleotide ribosomal RNA is filed under the name Anthostomella sp. MFLUCC 12-0008. RNAcentral describes it as "eukaryotic LSU rRNA". The stretch from base 88 to 241 matches the Rfam family "5.8S ribosomal RNA". The record is from RNAcentral. Lineage: Eukaryota; Fungi; Ascomycota; Sordariomycetes; Xylariales; Xylariaceae.
UGCCUCGGUGGGGGCUAAACCCCCCGCCGAUGGCCCAUCAAACUCUGUUUUAUUUUGAAAUUCUGAAUCUUAAAGCAAAUAAGUUAAAACUUUCAACAACGGAUCUCUUGGUUCUGGCAUCGAUGAAGAACGCAGCGAAAUGCGAUAAGUAAUGUGAAUUGCAGAAUUCAGUGAAUCAUCGAAUCUUUGAACGCACAUUGCGCCCAUUAGUAUUCUAGUGGGCAUGCCUGUUCGAGCGUCAUUAAAACUCAUUAAGCCCUGUUGCUUAGCGUUGGGAGCCUGCCGGCCUGGCCCGCAGCUCCUCAAAACUAGUGGCGGAGUCAGUGUAUACUCUAGGCGUAGUAAUUUCAACUCGCUUCUGUGGUUUCGCUGGCGCCUGCCGUAAAACCCCCAACUUCCAAAGUUUGACCUCGGAUCAGGUAGGAAUACCCGCUGAACUUAAGCAUAUCAAUAAGCGGAGGAA